AUUGAACGCUGGCGGCAUGCCUUACACAUGCAAGUCGAACGGUAACAGGUCUUCGGAUGCUGACGAGUGGCGAACGGAUGAGUAAUACAUCGGAACGUGCCUAGUAGUGGGGGAUAACUACUCGAAAGAGUGGCUAAUACCGCAUGAGAUCUACGGAUGAAAGCAGGGGAUCGCAAGACCUUGUGCUACUAGAGCGGCCGAUGGCAGAUUAGGUAGUUGGUGGGAUAAAAGCUUACCAAGCCGACGAUCUGUAGCUGGUCUGAGAGGACGAUCAGCCACACUGGGACUGAGACACGGCCCAGACUCCUACGGAGGGCAGCAGUGGGGAAUUUUGGACAAUGGGCGAAAGCCUGAUCCAGCAAUGCCGCGUGCAGGAUGAAGGCCUUCGGGUUGUAAACUGCUUUUGUACGGAACGAAAAGCCCCGGGUUAAUACCCUGGGGUCAUGACGGUACCGUAAGAAUAAGCACCGGCUAACUACGUGCCAGCAGCCGCCGUAA
This 498-nucleotide ribosomal RNA is filed under the name uncultured bacterium. RNAcentral's name for it is "partial 16S ribosomal RNA". It matches the Rfam family "Bacterial small subunit ribosomal RNA", at positions 30 to 523 of the family's 1533-position model. The record is from RNAcentral.